GUCAGAUACUGGCAAACUGGUGGAAACACCGGGACGCAAAGCAAUAGGGCCUAAUCCUCCGGCAGGAGGGACGGCAGCCUGGCCGCCGAA
RNAcentral lists this non-coding RNA (90 nucleotides) under Desulforamulus ruminis. RNAcentral describes it as "Desulfotomaculum ruminis c-di-GMP sequence". It matches the Rfam family "c-di-GMP-I riboswitch aptamer". From Rfam's summary of the family: GEMM was predicted in a large-scale screen for bacterial structured RNA regulatory elements. Genes associated with GEMM are involved in a diverse array of functions, including chemotaxis regulation, signal transduction, secretion and chitin. Lineage: Bacteria; Bacillati; Bacillota; Clostridia; Eubacteriales; Peptococcaceae. The record is from RNAcentral. RNAcentral also lists the same sequence under 1 other name.